UACGUAGGCAGCGAGCGUUGCUCGGAAUCACUGGGCGUAAAGCGCACGUAGGCGGAUUGCUAAGUCAGGGGUGAAAUCCUGGAGCUCAACUCCAGAACUGCCCUUGAUACUGGCGGUCUCGAGUCCGGGAGAGGUGAGUGGAACUGCGAGUGUAGAGGUGAAAUUCGUAGAUAUUCGCAAGAACACCAGUGGCGAAGGCGGCUCACUGGCCCGGUACUGACGCUGAGGUGCGAAAGCGUGGGGAGCAAACAGG
RNAcentral lists this ribosomal RNA (253 nucleotides) under uncultured bacterium. Its description in RNAcentral is "partial 16S ribosomal RNA". It matches the Rfam family "Bacterial small subunit ribosomal RNA", at positions 524 to 776 of the family's 1533-position model. The record is from RNAcentral.